UACGUAGGGACCUAGCGUUGUCCGGAAUCAUUGGGCGUAAAGCGCGCGUAGGCGGCCCGGUAAGUCCGUUGUAAAAGUCGAAGGCUCAACCUUCGAAAGCCGAUGGAUACUGCCGGGCUAGAGUACGGAAGAGGCGAGUAGAAUUCCUGGUGUAGCGGUGGAAUGCGCAGAUAUCAGGAGGAAUACCCAUAGCGAAGGCAGCUCGCUGGGACGGUACUGACGCUGAGACGCGAAAGCGUGGGGAGCGAACAGG
This 253-nucleotide ribosomal RNA is filed under the name uncultured bacterium. RNAcentral's name for it is "partial 16S ribosomal RNA". It matches the Rfam family "Bacterial small subunit ribosomal RNA", at positions 524 to 776 of the family's 1533-position model. The record is from RNAcentral.